UGCCAUCACCCAGAGUGUCAUCUUUGUCAACACCCGCCGCAAGGUGGACUGGCUCACUGACAAGAUGAGGAGCAGGGACCACACUGUUUCUGCCACUCACGGUGACAUGGAUCAGAACACUAGGGACAUCAUCAUGAGGGAGUUCAGGUCUGGUUCAUCCCGUGUGCUCAUCACCACCGACCUGCUUGCCCGUGGUAUCGAUGUUCAGCAGGUGUCCUUGGUCAUCAACUACGAUCUCCCCACCCAGCCUGAGAACUACCUGCAUCGCAUUGGUCGUAGUGGUCGUUUCGGUAGGAAGGGUGUUGCCAUCAACUUUGUGACCCGUGAUGAUGAGAGGAUGCUGUUUGACAUACAGAGGUUCUACAACGUGGUGAUUGAGGAGCUGCCUGCCAACGUCGCUGACCUUCUGUGAUCGAGUUGAAGAAAAAACAAAACAGAACAAAAAAAAAGUGGUAAGGGGACCUGAUAAGGCUUGUUUUUGUUGAAAUAUCGCCAUAUGUGGGGUGGAGUGACAAGGUCGGUGGGGUUUCUAUGUCAAGUCGUGGUCAUGGACAAUUUGUGAUUUUUCCUUAUGCCAUGUUUUGGGAAUUUUUGUAGCUGCCUAGGCCUGUGCUAUGUGCUACUGUGGGGGUUCAUUAGUAUGGAGGGGAGACGCUGCUGGUGCUGGAGUCUUUUCGUCUUUAGUAUUUUUGUUUAAAACUAUGUAUGACCGAAUGAUGGUAUUUAUUUGUGUCAUCCUUGACUCUUGUAUUCUGCUGCAACCGCAUGUAUCCUUCUAUCAGCACUGGUCUUUGUUAUUCUGUGCGAGUAAAACCUGUUUACUCAUCGCAUAUUGUGGUUGCCGGCGUUGAUGCCCAUGAUGGUGUAGAAGCUGCCAUUGGUGUUGCAGCUUUGUGUUCUGCUACUGCUCUAGGGGCUUGUUUAGUUUGACCCUGCUUGCAUGUUGUUUAGUUGGGGCCCUGUGCCAUCAGUGUUGCUGCCCUGGCCUGGAUGUAGUUUAGCACCAGUUGCCAAAACGAUUAUAAAAAUACUUAUUAAAAUAUAAAAUAUUGAAAUAUGCAUGGAGAAAUUGAUCUGUUUAAUUAUGUGCAGUAUAACGUCGUUAGCGUUCUACUUAAAAGUUGUAGUUCUUGGUCAGGCAAAGCCUCCAUGUCUCCAACCUAACAUGCCUUAUGGGUGGAGACGACGUGCUGCUAAUGUGUUUAUCAUUGGUCAGCUGGCUGAGCUCGCUCGAUGGCAAAAGGCUUUGGUCAACCUGAUGGCACGGCGUACGGUCAGGAUCAAUGCUUAGGAGGAGGUUGUGCUGCAAGUACGCACGUAUGCAAACACUCGGCAAGGUGUUUACUUCGGCGACCCUGCCAAUGCGGAGAAAUUAAUGCAUGACUUCCCCUUCUUCCUCCCUCUAUUUUCAUUCUUCUUUUUUCCUCGUGGUCACUCACUUUUCUUUCGUCUUGUUUUGGUCAAAUCCGUGUCCUGCCAUUUUUUUAGUUGGUUUAUGAGGCUGAAAACCCGAACUAAAAUUGCACUCUUUAUAGGUAAAACUGGCCCCCUAUCCUUUGUGUGUGGAAUUAAAAUUUGACUUCUUUGAUACAGUAAUCGCCACGUGAACAGGGGUAUGUUGGCAAUGUUGGCCCGCGAAGCAUCAUUGUAGUAGAGGAGGAGGAAGGCCUGGCCCAAUCAAAAGCUCUGUCUGCUAUGCUCUCCGGGCCGCCGUACGUUGAUACAUGGGCCGAGCCAAGUGAAGGGCCAUCAUCGUCGUCUUCUCCUCGGUCGAAGAAGAGACAGAGAACCGCGACUUCUACGUUUUCUCACUCGCGGAUUCAUCUCCUUCUGAAUUUCCGAGAGACCAGGUAUGUGCCCGUUGCUACGGGUAUAAAAAAUUGAUAUUACUUUGAUACAAGAUACACACCGACCAACUAAACAUUAGACAAAAACAUCCAUUCUACUAUUAUAUAAACAAAAACAGUAAACAAAUAUAUCUUGCCCCCUUACCUUAGAAUCAGGUUUGCAUCUCAACCAUAAAUAACAAAAAUAAUAAAAAAAUAUACCUUGCCCCCUCUACCUUAGAAUCAGGUUUGCAUCUCAACUGCAGAUCUAUCAUUCGCUAAUGAGGGAGUUAAAACAGAGGAAAGUUCCCUCCUUAGUUUUUAAACUCAUGGUCACUGGGCAGCUUAAACUUAGAAAACCGGAAUGCUUGUGUGAUUUCCUUGCGUUAGUGAAAUGGCAGGCGAACUGGUAUUUAGGAAAAUACAUGUCAUGUAAAACCUGUCCUCAAGCACUAUACACAACAUCUGUACCCGUGCACUCUCAAGAAGCUCUAGUAUCUAGACUCUGACAACUACCACUUAUAUCCAAUCCACUUAUAUCCAAUCCAAGCCCUCAAUUACCAUGAUACUAUGUUGUAUUGCUACAGAAUAUAGCAAUUUUAGAUGGGUAGUUCUUCAGAGGUUCAUCACAUACGGUUCCUGUCUUGACCUUGGCAUGCUAAAAGAGCUGAACACCAGACUGGUGUUCAGUUUGUUCUACACUUCUACUUCCACUUGCAGAGCUUGUAGAACGCUACCCUCAUCAUGCUGAACUUCUCUCUGAACUCGGCUGAUGAUAAGUAGGACUGCAUUCGCCUGAUAACAGUAAGUGAAUUAAAAAGGUUGUCUCACGAAUGCGAAGUGGAAGAUUGGUUGCUCACCUCUCGCUUGGUCACGUUGAUGUCGGGGACAGGAACUUCAACUUUGAUUGUCAGGCAUUCAUAUGGGUAGAUCAUGCGCCCCUUCGUCAUCUUCCGUCUCAAUUUCGCCAACAUCGCCAUCACCUUUGGCAUCCUCCUCUUGUGGCCUUCUCUACAUCAGGGCUCGCUUCAUUUUGCAAAAAGUUCAGAAACAAGAAAGGUAAGGUACUGAAUAUUUGGUCUCUGUGUUCUAUCAGAUGUGGAAACCAAAGAGUUUUGUUCUAUGUACCUUUUACUGACUUUGGUAUUAAAGAGCUGGUGAGAGCACAAGAUAGAUGAUUUUUUGGGUGACACCUUACUGAUCAGGACCUCCAGAUUUUGGGAAAAGCUUUCCGACAGUAGGAGGAGGUUUGGAAAGAUUCCUGGUAUUACUUUGUUUUUGAAAACUGAUUCCUGGUAUUACUUAGGUUCUUAAAGGCACAAGUUAACACGUUGAGGGCUGGACACCUUCCUCGAACAUGGGACGGUCCCGACUGAUGAACAUGCUUCUCGUGCACUGAGAUUAAUGCAGGUGUUUGUUAUUUUGGUUUCUGAAAACACAGAGAUAGUCAGUGGUAUUUUUUUUAAAAAAGGCUUCCACUCAGAUGCUAUUUUUAGUCACCCUGUAGUCCUUUUACCAAACCUUAAUGGUCGGCAUGUGUUAGUGCUCAUUCAUGCGAAUGGUACAAUAGUUCUGAUUAAAAUGCUGAAACCUAAAUUUCAAUACUGGACUCAUUCGAAUGCUCACGGAAGGAUUUAAAGGUCCCAUGCAUGUAAGCAGAACGAAAUAAACACUGUAUGGUCAGCAUGUGUUAGUACUGCGACGUUUUGUCCCCUUUCUACUUUUUUUAGCUGCAGAGAUGAUGCACCUUCUCAAUCAUUUUUUAUCAAUUCCAUUUGUUCCUUUCGGCAUUGCAUGAAUUUGUUUGAAUUUGCUUGUCCGAGGAAGACAAGAGUACAAUUGGUUCGUUGGAUCGAGCGUCAAGAUCAUGGCGGUUCGUUGGACCGACCGUCAAGAUCAUGGCAGAUGCAUCCAUCCAUCCCUGACCUAGUCCCUGCACAUACACCUGCACAGGCUGCAGUAGCUAGCUACAACGGCGAAGCUAGUUCCAUCGGCAAAGUCCUUAUCUCGCCGGCGCGAGAUAGGGCCGGGUGGAAGCUGGGAGGCGCGGAGCUGAAGGAGAUCGUGCAACCCACAGCAGCCGCACGAAUCUUAAACACCACCGGAAGCUAGAUAGAUUUUCCGACAUGAACCGGGGUACGUGGAAACUAAAAAA
This 3981-nucleotide long non-coding RNA is filed under the name Setaria italica (foxtail millet). RNAcentral's name for it is "long non-coding RNA (SITA_LNC003280)". The record is from RNAcentral. Lineage: Eukaryota; Viridiplantae; Streptophyta; Magnoliopsida; Poales; Poaceae.